GGACUACAAGGGUAUCUAAUCCUGUUUGCUCCCCACGCUUUCGUGCCUGAACGUCGGUACUGGACCAGGAAGCCGCUUUCGCCACUGAUGUUCCUUCUGAUAUCUACGCAUUUCACCGCUACACCAGAAAUUCCGCUUCCCUCUUCCGUACCCUAGCCUCGCAGUUUCGAAUGCAAUUCCCAGGUUGAGCCCGGGGAUUUCACACCCGACUUACGAAACCGUCUACGCACGCUUUACGCCCAGUAAUUCCGAUUAACGCUCGCACCCUCUGUAUUACCGCGGCUGCUGGCAC
RNAcentral lists this ribosomal RNA (292 nucleotides) under uncultured bacterium. RNAcentral's name for it is "partial 16S ribosomal RNA". The record is from RNAcentral.